UACAGAGGGUGCGAGCGUUAAUCGGAAUUACUGGGCGUAAAGCGUGCGUAGACGGUAGCGUAAGUCAGAUGUGAAAGCCCCGGGCUCAACCUGGGAAUUGCAUUUGAGACUGCUCUGCUCGGGUGCGGAAGAGGGAAGCGGAAUUUCCGGUGUAGCGGUGAAAUGCGUAGAUAUUGGGAAGAACACCGGUGGCGAAGGCGGCUCUCUGGACCGUAACUGACGCUGAGGCGCGAAAGCGUGGGGAGCAAACAGG
RNAcentral lists this ribosomal RNA (253 nucleotides) under uncultured bacterium. Its description in RNAcentral is "partial 16S ribosomal RNA". It matches the Rfam family "Bacterial small subunit ribosomal RNA", at positions 524 to 776 of the family's 1533-position model. The record is from RNAcentral.